AGUGGCGGACGGGUGAGUAACGCGUGAGAAUCUGCCUUGGGGUCGGGGACAACCACUGGAAACGGUGGCUAAUACCGGAUAAGCCGAUUGGUGAAAGAUUUAUUGCCCGAAGAGGAGCUCGCGUCUGAUUAGCUAGUUGGUGAGGUAAGAGCUCACCAAGGCAGCGAUCAGUAGCUGGUCUGAGAGGACGAUCAGCCACACUGGGACUGAGACACGGCCCAGACUCCUACUGGAGGCAGCAGUGGGGAAUUUUCCGCAAUGGGCGAAAGCCUGACGGAGCAAGACCGCGUGAGGGAGGAAGGCUCUUGGGUUGUAAACCUCUUUUCUCAGGGAAGAAGCUCUGACGGUACCUGAGGAAUCAGCCUCGGCUAACUCCGUGCCAGCAGCCGCGGUAAUACGGAGGAGGCAAGCGUUAUCCGGAAUUAUUGGGCGUAAAGCGUCCGCAGGUGGCGAUUCAAGUCUGCUGUCAAAGCACGGGGCUUAACUCCGUAAAGGCAGUGGAAACUGAAUAGCUAGAGUGCCGUAGGGGUAGAGGGAAUUCCCGGUGUAGCGGUGAAAUGCGUAGAGAUCGGGAAGAACAUCGGUGGCGAAAGCGCUCUACUGGACGGCAACUGACACUCAGGGACGAAAGCUAGGGGAGCGAAUGGGAUUAGAUACCCC
RNAcentral lists this ribosomal RNA (660 nucleotides) under uncultured bacterium. Its description in RNAcentral is "bacterial SSU rRNA". It matches the Rfam family "Bacterial small subunit ribosomal RNA", at positions 94 to 788 of the family's 1533-position model. The record is from RNAcentral.